GAUGAAGAACGCAGCGAAAUGCGAAAAGUAAUAUGAAUUGCAGAAUUCCGUGAAUCAUCAAAUCUUUGAACGCAAAUUGCACUCCUUGGUAUUCCGAGGAGUACACUUGCUUGAGGGUCAGUUAAUAAACAUCGUACCAUCUUUUGGUGUUGCGGAUCUGGGUUAUCCGGUUUUAAGUCGGUUACCUAAAAUUAUUAAUUAUUGUAAUGUGAUACGUACUAAGAGAGUCGUUAAUCAUUAAAACAAUAUAUAUAUAUUACCUCUAAUUCUUUUUUAUUGGUAAAGUAUAUAAUUUUUGAGAAUGACAUCAAGUCAAGUGAGAGUACCCGCUGAACUUAAGCAUAUCAAUAAGCGGAGGA
RNAcentral lists this unclassified non-coding RNA (359 nucleotides) under soil metagenome. Its description in RNAcentral is "partial contains 5.8S ribosomal RNA, internal transcribed spacer 2, and large subunit ribosomal RNA". The stretch from base 1 to 120 matches the Rfam family "5.8S ribosomal RNA", at positions 35 to 154 of the family's 154-position model. The record is from RNAcentral.